CUGGCGGCAGGCCUAACACAUGCAAGUCGAGCGGCAGCGGGCCUUCGGGUGCCGGCGAGCGGCGGACGGUGAGGAAUGCAUAGGAAUCUGCCUAUAGAGGGGGAUAACACGGGGAAACUCGUGCUAAUACCGCAUACGUCCUACGGGAGAAAGCGGGGGAUCGUAAGACCUCGCGCUAAUAGAUGAGCCUAUGCCGGAUUAGCUAGUUGGUAGGGUAAAGGCCUACCAAGGCGACGAUCCGUAGCUGGUCUGAGAGGAUGAUCAGCCACACUGGGACUGAGACACGGCCCAGACUCCUACGGGAGGCAGCAGUGGGGAAUAUUGGACAAUGGGCGCAAGCCUGAUCCAGCCAUGCCGCGUGUGUGAAGAAGGCCUUCGGGUUGUAAAGCACUUUAAGCGGGGAGGAAGGUCAGUGGGUUAAUACCUUACUGAAUUGACGUUACCCGCAGAAUAAGCACCGGCUAACUCUGUGCCAGCAGCCGCGGUAAUACAGAGGGUGCGAGCGUUAAUCGGAAUUACUGGGCGUAAAGCGCACGUAGGUGGUUGUGUAAGUUGAAUGUGAAAGCCCCGGGCUUAACCUGGGAAUGGCAUCCAAAACUGCAUGACUAGAGUAUGGGAGAGGGAGGUAGAAUUCCAGGUGUAGCGGUGAAAUGCGUAGAGAUCUGGAGGAAUACCGGUGGCGAAGGCGGCCUCCUGGCCUAAUACUGACACUGAGGUGCGAAAGCGUGGGUAGCAAACAGGAUUAGAUACCCUGGUAGUCC
This 761-nucleotide ribosomal RNA is filed under the name uncultured bacterium. Its description in RNAcentral is "bacterial SSU rRNA". It matches the Rfam family "Bacterial small subunit ribosomal RNA", at positions 36 to 796 of the family's 1533-position model. The record is from RNAcentral.